GGGAAUGGCGGCAGCUACACAUGCAAGUCGAGCGGUAACAGGAAGAAGCUUGCUUCUUUGCUGACGAGCGGCGGACGGGUGAGUAAUACUUGGGAACUUGCCUUUAGGAGGGGGAUAACCGCUGGAAACGGUGGCUAAUACCGCAUAAUGUCUACGGACCAAAGCAGGGGCUCUUCGGACCUUGCACCUAAAGAUAGGCCCAAGCGAGAUUAGCUAGUUGGUGGGGUAAAGGCCCACCAAGGCGACGAUCUCUAGCUGUUCUGAGAGGAUGAUCAGCCACACUGGGACUGAGACACGGCCCAGACUCCUACGGGAGGCAGCAGUGGGGAAUAUUGCACAAUGGGGGAAACCCUGAUGCAGCCAUGCCGCGUGUGUGAAGAAGGCCUUCGGGUUGUAAAGCACUUUCAGUGGUGAGGAAGGCCGUAAGAUUAAUACUCUUGCGGAUUGACGUUAACCACAGAAGAAGCACCGGCUAACUCCGUGCCAGCAGCCGCGGUAAU
This 500-nucleotide ribosomal RNA is filed under the name Pseudidiomarina sediminum. RNAcentral's name for it is "bacterial SSU rRNA". It matches the Rfam family "Bacterial small subunit ribosomal RNA", at positions 37 to 524 of the family's 1533-position model. Lineage: Bacteria; Pseudomonadati; Pseudomonadota; Gammaproteobacteria; Alteromonadales; Idiomarinaceae. The record is from RNAcentral.